Molecule: non-coding RNA, 45 nt
Organism: Schistosoma curassoni
Lineage: Eukaryota; Metazoa; Platyhelminthes; Trematoda; Strigeidida; Schistosomatidae
Source: Rfam
AUCCAGCUGACGAGUCUCAAAUAGGACGGAACAAGCGUUCUGGAU